Molecule: long non-coding RNA, 770 nt
Organism: Apis cerana (Asiatic honeybee)
Lineage: Eukaryota; Metazoa; Arthropoda; Insecta; Hymenoptera; Apidae
Source: RefSeq, a predicted model, not a curated record
AAAUUUCGCGGUAUUAAUGAAAAGAGAAGUAGUUAACCCAUUUAUUUGCUAAUCAUGUGAUUAUGACAAUAUAAGUUUGCAAUGAAUAUGUCAUUUUCAUAAUAUUAUAUUUAUAUAAAUUUGCCUUUAUUAUAUCUAAUUAAAAAAUUUUUUAAAUAAUUUUAAUAAAGAAUAGGAAAUAAAAAUUGAUUAUUUAAUAAGAAUAAAAACUUUAUUUGUGCAAAUAACCUUACAUACAGAAAACAUCACAAACAUGAGUAUAAAGAAAACUAAGUAAAUGAAAGAUUUCGUAUAAAUUAUAUAUUUAUAAAACUUUAAUACAAGAAAUUUGUUAAGUAAUAUAACAUUUUCUUAAUAAGAAAUUUUUAUAUUAAAAUUCGGUUUGAUGUUAAAGGUUAAUUAAAAUAUAAAAUAAAUAUUUUUCGUGUGUUAAAAUUACACAAAAUAAUAAUCAAUAAAAAAAAUGUUCAAAUUUUUGAUAACCUUAGGCAUUGGAAUUUAUGCUGGUAUAUAUAUAAGUCAGAACUAUGAGAUACCACGUGUAGAUGAUCCUAAUAAGAUAAUAGAACGAAUAAAAGAAUUUGCAGAUGAAUAUAAAAAAAAAUAAUAACAAUUUAUUAAGUAAUAGUAAUAUAUUUAUGGAAUAUAUUUCAAUGCAUGCAGUUUUAUUAUAUUAUAUUGUUGUACUUUUUAUUGUUAUAUGCAUAUGUAUAUAAACAUGAAAUAUUUUGUGAUUUGAUUUUAAUAAAACAUUUUGUGUAAUGUGUGAA